RNAcentral lists this transfer RNA (76 nucleotides) under Gammaproteobacteria bacterium. RNAcentral's name for it is "tRNA-His". It matches the Rfam family "tRNA". From Rfam's summary of the family: Transfer RNA (tRNA) molecules are approximately 80 nucleotides in length. The record is from RNAcentral. Lineage: Bacteria; Pseudomonadati; Pseudomonadota; Gammaproteobacteria.
GCGAGCGUAGCUCAGGGGUUAGAGCACUAGAUUGUGGAUCUAGGGGUCGCGGGUUCGAAUCCCGUCGCUCGCCCCA